CCUACGGGUGGCAGCAGUGAGGAAUAUUGGUCAAUGGGAGAGAUCCUGAACCAGCCACGCCGCGUGAGGGAAGACGGCCCUAUGGGUUUUAAACCUCUUUUGUCGGAGAACAAAACCCGGGACGUGUCCCGGACUGCGUGUAUCCGAAGAAAAAGCAUCGGCUAACUCCGUGCCAGCAGCCGCGGUAAUACGGAGGAUGCGAGCGUUAUCCGGAUUUAGUGGGUUUAAAUGGUGCGUAGGCGGUCCGUUAAGUCAGCGGUAAAAUUGCGGGGAUCAACCCCGUCGCGCCGUUGAAUCUGGGAGACUUGAGUUGGCGAGAAGUAGGCGGAAUGCGGGGUGUAGCGGUGAAAUGUAUAGAUAUGGCGCAGAACUACGGUUGCGAAGGCAGCGUAGGGGCGCCAGAGUGACGCUGGGGCACGAAAGCGUGGGGAUCGAACAGGAUUAGAUCCCGGUAGUC
This 457-nucleotide ribosomal RNA is filed under the name uncultured bacterium. RNAcentral's name for it is "partial 16S ribosomal RNA". It matches the Rfam family "Bacterial small subunit ribosomal RNA", at positions 338 to 795 of the family's 1533-position model. The record is from RNAcentral.